This 493-nucleotide ribosomal RNA is filed under the name uncultured bacterium. Its description in RNAcentral is "partial 16S ribosomal RNA". It matches the Rfam family "Bacterial small subunit ribosomal RNA", at positions 28 to 507 of the family's 1533-position model. The record is from RNAcentral.
GACGAACGCUGGCGGCGUGCCUAACACAUGCAAGUUGAGCGACGAACCAGGGCUUGCCCUGGGGCAAAGCAGCGAACGGGUGAGUAACACGUGGGUAACCUACCCCGAUAACCGGGACAACCCGAGGAAACUCGGGCUAAUACCGGAUGUGCUCACUGGACUUCGGUUCAGUGCGUAAAGGAAGCUUCGGCCUCCGUAUCGGGAGGGGCCCGCGGCCCAUUAGUUUGUUGGUGAGGUAACGGCUCACCAAGACCGCGAUGGGUAGCUGGUCUGAGAGGACGAUCAGCCACACUGGGACUGAGACACGGCCCAGACUCCUACGGGAGGCAGCAGUGGGGAAUCUUGCGCAGUGCGCGAAAGCGUGACGCAGCAACGCCGCGUGGGGGAAGAAGGCCUUCGGGUUGUAAACCCCUUUCAGGAGGGACGAAGGUUCGGCGGUGAAUAGCCGUCCGGACUGACGGUACCUCCACAAGAAGCCCCGGCUAACUACGUG